UGGGGAAUAUUGGACAAUGGGCGAAAGCCUGAUCCAGCCAUGCCGCGUGUGUGAAGAAGGUCUUCGGAUUGUAAAGCACUUUAAGUUGGGAGGAAGGGCAGUAAGCGAAUACCUUGCUGUUUUGACGUUACCGACAGAAUAAGCACCGGCUAACUCUGUGCCAGCAGCCGCGGUAAUACAGAGGGUGCAAGCGUUAAUCGGAAUUACUGGGCGUAAAGCGCGCGUAGGUGGUUCGUUAAGUUGAAUGUGAAAGCCACGGGCUCAACCUGGCAACUGCAUCCAAAACUGGCGAGCUAGAGUAGGGCAGAGGGUGGUGGAAUUUCCUGUGUAGCGGUGAAAUGCGUAGAUAUAGGAAGGAACACCAGUGGCGAUGGCAACCACCUGGGCUCAUACUGACACUGAGGUGCGAAAGCGUGGGGAGCAAACAGG
Molecule: ribosomal RNA, 429 nt
Filed under: Pseudomonadota bacterium
Lineage: Bacteria; Pseudomonadati; Pseudomonadota
Description: Proteobacteria bacterium partial 16S ribosomal RNA
Rfam family: Bacterial small subunit ribosomal RNA
Source: RNAcentral